RNAcentral lists this ribosomal RNA (754 nucleotides) under Escherichia coli. RNAcentral describes it as "partial 23S ribosomal RNA". It matches the Rfam family "Bacterial large subunit ribosomal RNA", at positions 2189 to 2925 of the family's 2925-position model. Lineage: Bacteria; Pseudomonadati; Pseudomonadota; Gammaproteobacteria; Enterobacterales; Enterobacteriaceae. The record is from RNAcentral.
ACCUUGAAAUACCACCCUUUAAUGUUUGAUGUUCUAACGUGGGCCCGUAAUCCGGGUUGCGGACAGUGUCUGGUGGGUAGUUUGACUGGGGCGGUCUCCUCCUAAAGAGUAACGGAGGAGCACGAAGGUUGGCUAAUCCUGGUCGGACAUCAGGAGGUUAGUGCAAUGGCAUAAGCCAGCUUGACUGCGAGCGUGACGGCGCGAGCAGGUGCGAAAGCAGGUCAUAGUGAUCCGGUGGUUCUGAAUGGAAGGGCCAUCGCUCAACGGAUAAAAGGUACUCCGGGGAUAACAGGCUGAUACCGCCCAAGAGUUCAUAUCGACGGCGGUGUUUGGCACCUCGAUGUCGGCUCAUCACAUCCUGGGGCUGAAGUAGGUCCCAAGGGUAUGGCUGUUCGCCAUUUAAAGUGGUACGCGAGCUGGGUUUAGAACGUCGUGAGACAGUUCGGUCCCUAUCUGCCGUGGGCGCUGGAGAACUGAGGGGGGCUGCUCCUAGUACGAGAGGACCGGAGUGGACGCAUCACUGGUGUUCGGGUUGUCAUGCCAAUGGCACUGCCCGGUAGCUAAAUGCGGAAGAGAUAAGUGCUGAAAGCAUCUAAGCACGAAACUUGCCCCGAGAUGAGUUCUCCCUGACCCUUUAAGGGUCCUGAAGGAACGUUGAAGACGACGACGUUGAUAGGCCGGGUGUGUAAGCGCAGCGAUGCGUUGAGCUAACCGGUACUAAUGAACCGUGAGGCUUAACCUUACAACGCCGAAG